This 902-nucleotide long non-coding RNA is filed under the name Homo sapiens (human). RNAcentral's name for it is "IFNG regulatory antisense RNA 1". Lineage: Eukaryota; Metazoa; Chordata; Mammalia; Primates; Hominidae. The record is from RNAcentral.
GGUAGCUUUUCUGACUCUUAAAGAGAUCUCAAGUAUACCUUCAGAGAAAUGCCAGCAAAAACUGUAGUCAUUUGGGAAGGAAUAAGCCUGGAAGAAAAAGAUACAACGAACUAGCACAACGAGGAGUUUGAAAAGUUCAUGACAGCUCACAGCUGAUGAUGGUGGCAAUCUUAAGGAUACAGAAAGCUCAUUCCUCAUGCAGGGAAGAAGAAAAUAUUCUAAAGAAGAGAUAAGCAUAUUCCAUGAAAUCAAAAAAGCGUAAAACGCUGGAGGAGAAGUCAGUAGCAAGCAGCUAAGACAACAUGGUACAUGUGGGUCCAAUGUGAAAAACACUAAGUGGGAUGGUUAAUUGUAUGUGUUCCCUUGGCUGGACCAUGAUGACAGAUAUUUGGUCAAACAUUAUUCUGGAUGUUUCUGUAAAGGAGUUUUUGGGCUAGAAGCCCACCAACUGCUAACAACCAGCUGGAGGGUAAGUCAAAAGCUAUGAGAGCCCAGAAGGAGAACAAUUAUUUAGACCUGGAGGGGCCAGUUGGGAAAGUCUUUGAAGGGUCUUCAGAAAAUGGACCAAAAGAAAAGAGGAAAAGUCAUUCUACUGAGAGGUGUUUGUGUAAUCAAAGCAACCGAGGCCUAAGAACUCACAAAAGAUUAGAAAAGGGUAAAGGAUGCCUGGAAAGCCGGACUAGGAAAAGGCUGUGAAGGGCCCUGAAGGUCACAUGUCACAUGUUGCCUGCAGCAUGCAGAAUCAAAACAUGAUAAAUCAUGUCUUGAAUCAUGACAUAUGAAGCAUGACACACGAAUCAUGACAUGUGACAUGUUGAAUGUCACAUGUCACAUGCCGUAGGCAGCCAUCAAGAGUAUUUGAAAGGAAAGUGUAUAAUCAGGCCUGUGCUUUAGUAAGACAA